UGUGAUACUCAGAAUGCAUUAAAGCGUGCUC
Molecule: non-coding RNA, 31 nt
Filed under: Homo sapiens (human)
Lineage: Eukaryota; Metazoa; Chordata; Mammalia; Primates; Hominidae
Source: RNAcentral